UAGGGUAGUCUCUUCAUCUUCUCCCCAUUUCUUUAAUUUCAAAAUCUCUCCCUCCAUUUUUCAAAACCUUCUUUGUGUGAACUAUUUUUAUUCUAAACUUUGACCACUUUUGCAAAAGAUAGAAACUUUGGCCUUAUGCCAUUGCAUUUUCAAACUUACUUUCUUAAAUCAAACUUGUAUGUUGGUAUAUAGGCACAAGACCGAAGGUCUUGUCAAACACAAAAAUAUAAUUAAUGAAUUCUUU
RNAcentral lists this long non-coding RNA (244 nucleotides) under Lathyrus oleraceus (garden pea). RNAcentral's name for it is "Pisum sativum (pea) long non-coding RNA (PSAT_LNC025020)". The record is from RNAcentral. Lineage: Eukaryota; Viridiplantae; Streptophyta; Magnoliopsida; Fabales; Fabaceae.